GCUGGGCGUGGUAGCGCGCGCCUGUAAUCCCAGCUGCUCAGGAGGCUGAGGCAGGAGAAUUGCUUGAACCCAGGAGACAGGGGUUGCAGUGAGCCGAGAUCAUGCCACUGCAUUCCAGCCUGGGCAAUAGAGCAAGACUCAGUCUCAA
This 148-nucleotide signal recognition particle RNA is filed under the name Macaca fascicularis (crab-eating macaque). RNAcentral's name for it is "Metazoan signal recognition particle RNA (ENSMFAG00000053667.1)". It matches the Rfam family "Metazoan signal recognition particle RNA". From Rfam's summary of the family: The signal recognition particle (SRP) is a universally conserved ribonucleoprotein. It is involved in the co-translational targeting of proteins to membranes. Lineage: Eukaryota; Metazoa; Chordata; Mammalia; Primates; Cercopithecidae. The record is from Rfam by way of RNAcentral.